This 347-nucleotide unclassified non-coding RNA is filed under the name soil metagenome. RNAcentral's name for it is "partial contains 5.8S ribosomal RNA, internal transcribed spacer 2, and large subunit ribosomal RNA". The stretch from base 1 to 120 matches the Rfam family "5.8S ribosomal RNA", at positions 35 to 154 of the family's 154-position model. The record is from RNAcentral.
GAUGAAGAACGCAGCGAAAUGCGAUAAGUAAUGUGAAUUGCAGAAUUCAGUGAAUCAUCGAAUCUUUGAACGCACAUUGCGCCCGCCAGUAUUCUGGCGGGCAUGCCUGUCCGAGCGUCAUUUCAACCCUCAGGCCCUGGUUGCCUGGUGUUGGGGCGCCGCGCACCCUCUGCGGGCGCGGGCCCCGAAAGUCAGUGGCGGGCUCGCCAGGACUCCGAGCGCAGUAAUUUUCUCUCGCUGUGGAGCGCCUGGUGGGUUACCAGCCGUAAAACACCCCAAAUUCUAAAGGUUGACCUCGGAUCAGGUAGGAAUACCCGCUGAACUUAAGCAUAUCAAUAAGCGGAGGA